RNAcentral lists this long non-coding RNA (8265 nucleotides) under Lynx pardinus (Iberian lynx). The record is from RNAcentral. Lineage: Eukaryota; Metazoa; Chordata; Mammalia; Carnivora; Felidae.
CAGAGAUUGAGACUUGUCUAGAGUAACACAAACCAGUAAGUGUUGGAAUUAAUGGAGGCAGGUAGUAAUGGGUGCCUUCUCCUAUGCCAGGGGCUUUCCUUGCUGCCAUGUACCUGGGUUCUAGGGACAAAGAGCCAAGAUGGUCAGGAACCAAAAAGGUAGUAGGUGGACUUAAUCGUACCCCAGCAAAAUGUGUUAUUCCUUCUCAUUUCUUUCUCUCUCUCUCUCUCUCUUUUUUUUUACACCAUUUAGUAGUGAUAACUUGAAAGAGCACAUAAUAUCUUUUUGUUGUUGUUGGAUAAGUGAAACUUAUUUUAAACAUAAGUUAUCCCUGAGGCACUAAGGAAGUAGAAAAUCUGGAGGGAAGUCUGUUGAAUUUCUCAGAGGGUAAUAGCUAUAGGGUCAGCUAAGGAAGGGAGAAAGUUACUAGUACAUGUGUGUAAUUGGAACUGAAAUUUUUAUGGCUCUCAUUAAGAUUUUUCAAAUCCUGUUUAAAGAUUGUAAUAUCAAUUUCAUAUAGCAAUCUUAGAGCUUAAGGGUGCUUAUCCACUUGUGGUUUUCUUUAGAUGACAGAACCGAGGUGCAGAGAAGUCGAAGCCUGCCUGGUGUCCCAGAGAGUGGCUGCAGGUAGAGCUUGUAGCUGCUGACUUCCUGAUUAGCGCCAUCUCUGCUUCCAACUCUUACCUCUUGGUAAGCUGUCCUUGAAGUACUCCACAGUCUUUUCUAUCUCUUUUUAUGUGUUUGAUCAACAUUGGCAUUUUGUAUCAAAAUGAACUUUAAAAUUCAUGAAAAUUACUGAUGCUUACGUGAUGAAAAUUAAAUUCUUUGUUUGAUUUCAGGUGAGUUAAUGUGGGAAAAAUCCUCGUAUUUUGAAGAUGUCUUGCAACAGUAUUGUUUCCUGUUUAAGUUACAAGUAACUUCAGUUUUUAGAGAAAAAAGAAAUUGGGUUUUUUUGUUAAAUCAUGCCAUCUGAACAGAAACAGUUAUUUUUUGAUGAAAAACAAACUAUUUUAAAAAAAGAUUAUGAUGUGAAAAAUGAGAUAGUUGAUACUAUUAGAUCAGUGCUUAGGCCAAAAAUUUCAGAAAGUCGUUUUCAUUAUGAACUAAAAAAUGUGAAAAUCGAUUUGCCGAAGAUAAAUAUUCCAAAUGAAGUCUUUUUGAAACAUGAAGUUGACAAAUACAGAAAGUUAUUUCAGCGUCAACCACAGACUGCAAGAAAAUCUAUCAGUAUAAAGACUGUAAGCUGUGUAGAGGAGUGUAUGCUGCUCCAGAAGUCUGAGAGAGUUGAAGAAGAGGGUUUAAAAAUGUCGGCAAAAAUACUCAAUUUCAACUGUUUAAAAUGCCGAGAUAGCACUCGAUAUAGCCCAAAUGAUUUACAGAAACACUUUCAGAUGUGGCAUCGUGGUGAAUUACCUUCAUAUCCUUGUGAAAUGUGCAGUUUUUCAGCAAAUGACUUCCAGAUAUUUAAACAACACAGACGGACACACAGAAGCACUUUAGUAAAAUGUGACAUUUGUAACAAUGAGAAUGUGUAUACUUUAUUAGACUUGACAAAGCAUUUUACAUCCACACAUUGUGUAAAUGGUAAUUUUCAAUGUGAAAAGUGCAAAUUCUCCACCCAGGAUGUUGGCACAUUUGUUCAGCACAUUCAUAGACAUAAUGAAAUCCAUUAUAAAUGUGGUAAAUGCCAUCAUAUAUGUUUUACCAAAGGAGAGCUUCAGAAGCACCUUCACAUUCAUUCUGGUACAUUUCCCUUCACUUGUCAAUAUUGUAGCUAUGGUGCCACUAAGAGAGAGCACCUCGUAAGACAUGUUAUAACUUUGCACAAAGAACACUUAUAUGCGAAAGAGAAACUGGAAAAAGACAAAUAUGAAAAAAGGAUGACAAAGACUUCAGGACUUAAGCUGAUACUGAAAAGAUACAGAAUAGAUGCAUCAAGGAAGACAUUCUGGAAACGCAAGAAGAUCAACAAUGGAAGCGACCGAAGUAUAGAAAAAAACACUCAAGUGCUAAAAAAACUGAACAAAACACAGGCUAAAUCUGAAGACCAGAGCCAUCUUGUUCAAGAACAUUUAAAUGAAGAAAAGGACGAAAGACCACACUGUGAGAAUAACGAUAAACCUGCUGAGUUAGGGUCAGAAAAGCCAACUCUUCUGUCCACUGGGCAAUAUAAUAGAGCUGAAGAGGGAUCACAUUCGACUCUAGGUUUCUUGAAGACUGCUGUACAAGGACCUACAGUGUUGAUGGUGAAAAAUAAUAGAAUAACAAUUCCUGCUAACUACAGUGCUGAUUUUAUGGGUUUUAAGAUGGUGGAUGGAAAACAACAUAUUGUAAUAAAAUUGUUGCCUACCAGUAAACAGAAUUUAUAUUCACCAGGCUCACAGCCAGGUGCUGCAAAGGAUGGUACUGGCAAUUUGCAGCCCCAGACACUGGACACUACUGGAUUUUUAGCAGGAGUAACAACUGAGUUAAGUGACACCGUUUACAUGAAAGCAACUACUCCAUUUUCGUGCUCAUCUCCUCUACUUUCAGGGAAAGUCCUAUCAGAAAAAGAAAUGGCUUUGCUAUCUCAAACGGGUAAUAUGCUUCAAACAGUGGAUGAUGAAAAAAGUGUGUCGUCUUUGUCAGCAUCAGGAUUGGUUACAGCAUCAGUGAAUUUGGCCACAAAAGUUGAAACAAAAGAUAAUAUUGACUUAUGGGGAAGUUACAUUCCUCAGAGUCACCCUGAGAUACCAGGUGCUGCCAUUAGAAGUCCAGAUAAAGUCAACUCUGCUACCAAACAAAAUGCAUACAACAGCGGAGAUAUGCAUAACUAUUGCAUUAAUUAUGUCAGCUCUGAGUUACCUGUUGAAUCUUCCAACCACGGAUCAUUACCCUUUCAUAAUUACUCAAAAGUAAAUAAUUCUAAUAAACGUCGUAGGUUUUCAGGAACAGCGGUGUCUGAAAAAGAACCCUCAUCAAGCAAAACAGUUGUUCAACAACCAAUAAGUGAAUCGGUUUUAUCUUUGGUGCGAAAGGAGAGCUCAAAUCCAGAUAGCAUGUUAGCAUCUCUUAGCCUGUUAAAUACUAAAGAUGGAACUUUAAAAAUGCAAGCUGAAAUUGAAGAACAAUGUGUGUUAGAAAAAGGACAAAACAUUGACGGACAGAACUUCUACACUAAUGAAAAUCAAAAUUUAGAGAAUGUGACUGAAAAAUCUAAGUGGGAUGACAUUUCUAAUGUUGAGUCACCUAUGAUGCCUAGAAUCACAUCUGUUUUCUCUCUCCACAGCCAACAGGCAUCAGAAUUUUUGCCCCCUGAAGUAAACCAGUUACUUCAGGAUGGGUUAAAAACAAAAUCUGAUGUAAAACAGGACUCUAGUAAGACUCCAGAUAAAGGCCUGCCACUUCAUUGUGACCAGUCCUUUCAGAAACCUGAGGGAGAAGGCAAAAUAGUUGAAUCUUCAAAAGACUUCAAAGUACAAGGUGUCUUCCCAAUUCCAUCUGGUGGUAUAGGGAUUAAUGUGCCUAUAAAUGAUCUGAAUUUAAAGUGUAGUGGAAAAGAAAAACAAAAUCUGUCAAUAUCACAAGAUGUGAGAGAUUCAGAAAAGGCACCUAGAAUUUCAGGUAUUGGCACAUUACUUAAGACUCAGUCAGAUGCAAUAAUAACACAGCAGCUCGUAAAAGAUAAACUGCGAGCCACUACACAAAAUUUAGGUUCUUUAUAUAGGCAGAGUCCACUUCUAAAUUCAGAACCAAAAAAAGCUAUAUUUGUUCAGACUCCAAAAGGCUUUUUUGUACCACUGCACAUUGCUAACAAGCCUGGAUUACAUGUUGUUUCAGGAAGACCACUUCCAUUGGUUAACACACAAGGUGUACCUGCUUCUCUUCUUUUAAACAAGAAACCCGGGAUGAUUUUAACAUUUAAUCAUGGGAAACUUGAAGGUGUUUCCACUGUCAAAACUGAGAGUGCUCAAGCUUGUGGAACUACAGCUAAGGAGCUUUGCAGAACACCUUUUUUAAAGGUGGAACCAAACAGUAAUUGUCUGACACCUGCACUAUGUUCCAGCAUUGGCAGUUGCUUGAGCAUGAAAAGUAGUUCCGAAAAUACUCUGCCGUUAAAAGGCCCGUACAUUAUUAAAACGUCAGCAAGUUCUUCAGUGAAAGCUGUUCCUACUCCUAAUGUAGCUUCUGAGCACCAGGGCACCAAGUUGAAUAUUUUGGAAUCAGUAAAACAGCAGAAUGAGAUUUUUCCCAAACCACCUCUUUAUACCCUCUUGCCUGAUGGCAAACAAGCUGUUUUUUUAAAGUGUGUGAUGCCAAAUAAGACUGAGCUGCUUAAGCCUAAAUUAGUCCAAAAUAGUACGUAUUAUCAAAACAUACAGCCAAAGAAACCUGAAGGAACACCACAAAAAAUAUUGCUGAAAAUUUUUAACCCUGUUUUAAAUGUGACUGCUGCUAACAAUCUGUCUGUAAACAACUCUGCAUCCUCAUUGCAGAAAGACAAAGUACCAUCUAAUCAGACUACAGGAGGAGAGCAGAGAGAGCCAGAAUCUUCUAGAGAUGCCUUACCCUUCUUACUAGAUGAUAUGAUGCCAGCAAAUGAAAUUGUGAUAACUUCUACUGCGACAUGCCCAGAAUCUUCUGAGGAACCAGUGUGUUUCACUGACCGUUCAGAUACCAGGGUGUUAAGGUGUAAAACAAAUUGUACAAUUGAGAGAAGCUUCAAUAGAAAAAAGACUUCCAAAAAAAAUUUUCCAAGAAUAAAAACUCAUGUAAGAAGUAAAGAUUCUGAAACUGCCUUUGUACCUAGAAACAGGAACUGUAAACGAAAGUGUAGGGAGAGUUACCAAGAACCUCCAAGAAAAAAGGCAACAUUACAUAGAAAGUGUAAAGAAAAGGCAAAACCCGAAGCUGUCCGUGAAUCGUUUGGAUUUAGCAGACCGAGGCUUUCAAAAGAUGCAGUCAGAACUUUGCGGCUUUUCCCAUUUAGUUCCACACAGCUUGUGAAAUGUCCUAGGAGAAACCAGCCAGUUGUAGUUUUGAAUCAUCCUGAUGCAGAUGCCCCAGAAGUAGUAAGUGUAAUGAAAACUAUUGCUAAAUUUAAUGGACGUGUACUUAAGGUUUCAUUGUCAAAAAGAACUAUCGAUGCUUUACUGAAACCGGUUUGUGGUAAUGCUUCACAAACAAUUUAUGAUGAUUUUUCCAAGAGGCAUAAAACAUUUAAACCUGUUAGUUCUGUGAAAGAAAGAUUUGUGCUAAAAUUAACACUCAAAAAGAUGAGCAAAAACAAUUAUCAGAUCGUGAAAACUACCUCUGAAAAUGUUCCAAAAGCUAAAUUUAACUGUUGGUUUUGUGGUAGAGUAUUUGACAAUCAGGAUGCUUGGGCUGGUCAUGGGCAGAGACAUUUAAUGGAAGCUACUCGUGAUUGGAAUAUAUUAGAAUAAUUUACUGUAGUUACCAAGGAACAGAGAAGUAAAAGGGUCUUAGAAGAAAACAGUGGGUUGAAUUACCUUAAGGUAAUUGUCUACUUCAGUAUAUACCUAAAAUUGAACAUCGGAAAGUAGGCUGUAUUUCCAUGGGAGACUAGAAAAGUUUUAUGUGUGAUAGUUGCAAAUGCUGUCACUGGACACAUAAGCUUUGAAAGAAACUAAUCACAGCACAGAUGUACCUUGAUUUAGUUUUUUUUAAGUGUGUUGUUGGGAAGUUAGGGCUAAAGAAAAUUUUGAUAAAACAGUUUUCCCAGUUUAGUUAUUUAGGGACUCUUAGUAGAGGGUAACGGCUGACAACUGCAUUCCCUCUCUUCUUCCACCAGCCUUAGGAAUCUGAUAAGUGUAGCUCCUCUGAAGAUGGAGAGAGCUCUUUCACCAUGGAGCUGAAGGAGUUCCUCAUCAUUUGUGAAGAUACACUAAGAGAGCUUGAGUAAAGAAUUUAACUUUACAUCUGCUUGAUAGAGCUGUUUUGAAGGGUAUUAGGUUCCUUAGAGUAAGUACAGUUAUACCUCUUGAUGCUUGAAGAGAGUUUUUGACAAGUACAUCUUUUUUUCUCUUACGCUGUGUCCCACAUCAAGGAUUGGAAUACCCUCCCAAGGUGAUUUUCUUUUUCUAAAUGGCUGUGUCAAGCACUGUAGUAGAUGAGAAGCCUCAAAAGAAGAAUUAAACUCUCUGGGUCUAGUUUGAAGUCUAGUGAAGGAACUUGAACAUUUUUCUGAAUUUGAUGAUAAUCUCCAGUGAUUCUCUUGCACAGAACUAUGCUUAUUUGAUUUAAAUUGUUUGUCCCUCUUAAACCAAAUGGCCCAUUUUUUACUUGGUUGCCAUGCAUUUAAAAAGUGGACCAUAGACGCACUUCCAAGGGAAUGGCUUUUCUUGAAAAUAAAAAAUUAUUCUCCAGAAACCAUAUUUUGAAACAAGAUUAGCAAAGCAAAUCAGAUUUUUGCUGUUUAAUUACUGUUAGGUGUCUAAACAUGUACUCUCUGGGACAAACCAUUUUUGUUAGCACCUUUUCAGUAUGAUUGACAGCCCAAAGCAGAUUCUUUACUGUUUGUUGGCAGUUGAAAUAAAGAAGCAUUAAUAGUGGAUUCAGUGACAGUGCAUAAAAUUUCAGGACAGAUUCCUAGGGGACAUACCUAGCAGGUAGGGUUUUAAAAUGGAUAUUUUCAUGACAACGACAGAAUCAUUGACUGAAACUUCACCGUGUAAGUUUGGAUCAAAUUUUGUUGGAUCAUUGGAUAACGGAGUCCUUGUAUUACAAAUUACUGUAUAAUUUUUGUUAUAUUGUUACUACAAGUGUUACAACAUUUUCAUUGACUGAAAACUUCAGGGCUUCUUUUCUGUAUAUAAGAAAGAAUUUAAACCUGUACAUAUUUUUGUACCUUUCAGUUUGUUAUGUAAAUUUUGCACAGAAAAUUUUUGACAUAAAAAGUUUAUUUUCCUUCAGUUUAGUUCUGUGCAUGCACUAAUAAAACUGGUUGUUUAAUUUAAAAGGAAUAUGUAAGACUUUACCCAUGUCCUUUUCUUGGUUUUUAUUUUAGAUGUAGAAUUUUUUUUUUUUUGGGUAAAUUCAUUUUUCAGGGAUUGAACACUAUUGUUAGCAAGUGCCUAAAAGAUGUGAAACAGUUUACAUAUGUCAACUGUAACAGUAGGUCCCAAAUGGGCCCAUUCCCCCAAAAGUUUUAUUUUAAAGAAAGCCAUACAUAGAUGCUUCAAGCUAUCUUGCUAUGCACAUUAUACAUGUACUUUUUUUGUGCAGUUUGUCUACUUUCCUAGUGAAGUAUUUUUUGUAUAAAACCUGUUAUAAUUGUGUUUCUUAAAUUGAGCCUAAGAAUGGAGUUGAUUGGAAAUAUACAGUAUAUAUUAAUAACGUAUAUGGUGUUUAAAGAAUGAUAAGUAUUGUUAAUUUCUGUAAUGAAAAUUUUCUUCAAUUAAAUUUAUCUUAAGUUUGUGUUUACACAGUAAUUUUUUUUACUGUACUGAAGUCAAAUGGGAAUUUUAUUCUAAAGGGAAAUACUUCUAUUUCAAAAAAGUUUGUUUCCUUUUAUGCUAGGGAACUGUGUCAAAUAAAGUGUGGAUUUGCCCCCCCAAAAUCAUAGAUGGAACUUUGUUUGAGAACAAACACUUAACACCAUAAAGUUACUAUAGUUAUGCUGAUGAGGAAAAUCAUAGAGAGGCUUAUGCUCUUUAGUACCCUAACAGCAAUAGAAUUGAAAUGCUCUGCUGUUCUGGGUAGAUGUAUUAUAACUCAUUGCCUUCCAUGAAUAGAGAAGAGAGAGCAGCAACUAUCAUGCCAAUGUUUGCAGGAUUAUAAAAACACAUUUCAGAAUAGCCAUGCUGGUAAAAAUCUAAUGUUGUGAUGCAUACUUUUUGCCUUAAAGUUUUAAAAGCCAUUUUAAAAAGCUUCAUGCCCCAGAUACUCUAGUUAGCCCCUUUUCUGAUUUGUUAGGUUAUUCUGAAGAAGGCAAACUUCCUUGGAACCUCUCUCUUGUGGAGUGGAAAAUCCAAAAUCAAAACCCACCAUCCUUUCUUUUCUCCUAGCUGAAACUGAACUAAAGAUUGUUCUCUAAAAUAGGAAUAGCCACUAAUUUGAGGUUGUGACUACACUGGAAGGGUUUUAUUUUUGCAAUCCAACUUCUUGGUCAGGAAUUUGUUUCAUUUUUCCCUAGUUGUCCAUCUCCAAGGAAAUGGACCUAUUUGCAUUCGAUUGAAAAAAUAGUUUAACUUUCAAAGAGUUUACCUUUCAUCUUACUAAGCACUCAGUGUAUUGAAAUGUGAUAUAUAUAUAUGUGAUAUAUAU